CGGCAACAGCUCAAAUUUGAAAUCUGGCCCCAGGCCCGAGUUGUAAUUUGCAGAGGAUGCUUUUGGCGCGGUGCCUUCCGAGUUCCCUGGAACGGGACGCCAUAGAGGGUGAGAAUCCCGUC
RNAcentral lists this ribosomal RNA (122 nucleotides) under Stachybotryaceae sp. RNAcentral's name for it is "Stachybotriaceae sp. partial large subunit ribosomal RNA". Lineage: Eukaryota; Fungi; Ascomycota; Sordariomycetes; Hypocreales; Stachybotryaceae. The record is from RNAcentral.